Molecule: transfer RNA, 71 nt
Filed under: Candidatus Lloydbacteria bacterium CG22_combo_CG10-13_8_21_14_all_47_15
Lineage: Bacteria; Candidatus Lloydiibacteriota
Description: tRNA-Met
Rfam family: tRNA
About the family: Transfer RNA (tRNA) molecules are approximately 80 nucleotides in length. Their secondary structure includes four short double-helical elements and three loops (D, anti-codon, and T loops).
Source: RNAcentral
CGCGGGGUGGAGAAGUAGUAUCUCGGGAGGCUCAUAACCUCCAGACCCAGGUGCAAUUCCUGGCCCCGCAA